AAUGUGCAUGAGGAGGAGCUAGCAUGUUGUAGUGCUAAUGAUAGGGUGCCAGAAAAUGUCCACCAAAUUGCCUCUACAGACCCUAGAACUUCUAAAAAUCAUCUAAUUUAGUGACGUUGCCAACCACUUCUUUGUCUCCUACUUUUGAAAUGGUGACGAUAAAUAAAGAAAAGGAGUGGUUAAAGCCAUCACCCAUUAAUUUGGAGGACCGGCGUAGAGUGGAGGAAGUUGGUUUGUGUGGGUCCAAUAUUGAGUCCAUUGCAGAGUUUGUCGAUGGUAAUGAUAGUCUUGUUAGUAAUGGUCCCUUAGCACAAAUUAAAGCAGAAAGACUUAUAAAGUUGAGAAAAGAGGCCUGAACCAUUGUUGAUAUUUGGGGCCUUUACCCAAAAUUGGGUUUUGGGGUAGGUCUAAGGUUAGUAGGGCCCAAAUCAAAAGUAAGUCGGCCUCUUAUAGUUACAGACAGUCAAAUUAAGAGGAUGAAUAAUCUGUAGCCAGCAAUGUCUAAUAGCAUCACACCUCAAAGAGAAGCUUUGGCUACAGUGGAUUUAGGGAGAAGAUUGGGAGCUUCUAUUUGAUAAUGAAGAAGAUGGCCUGAUUAACAAUUUAACUGGACACAUCUCGGCUGAUCCCCCUGAUAAUAAACAGAGGUAAUGCUGCUAGCAAAGAGCUCUCUCAAUAAAGUAACUCUUAAGAGUUUUUUUAGGAGGUCGUAAGAACAAUGGCAUCAGUUAUUUCAUGGGAUAUUAGAGGUUUGGAUGGUUCUUCGAAACAGUCAAAGUUGUGCAGGUUGAUGCGCAAACAUGAUAUUGAUGUUUUUGCAGUUCUGGAAUUGAAGUGUUCAACAACAUCUUUUAUAGUGAUUAGACGGACAUGGAAUUUGGGUGACUUUGAAUGGGCAUGCAUAGAUUCUGAAGGGAGCUCCGGAGGUAUGUUAGUUGUUUGGAAUAAGAAGUCAUUUGCUGUUAGUAGCAAACGAGUUUUUACCAGGUGGAUCUUACUGAAAGGUUCUUUCUUAAAUUGUAAUUUUGAAACUUUGAUUGCAUUUGUGUAUGCUCCUUGUGAAGUAAAUAAGCAAGAGAGGCUUUGGUUUGAAAUAGAGGAUGAGUUGCAUAAUGUAGGUCACCCUAUUUUAUUAAUGGGGGAUUUUAACCAGGUGUUGGCCAUUUCAGAAAGAAAAAGUGGUCAUUUUUCGAAGCGGUAUGGAAAAGGUUCGAAGCUUUGUUAAUGAUUGGGUGCUAUGGAUUUAGUUUUAAAUGGUAAGAAUUUACAUGGCGAAAUUCUUUUUCGGCUAGCAGGAUUGAUCGAGCUAUGGUAUCUCAACAAUGGGCAUCAAAGUUUCCUAAUCUUAUGUUGGCUGCGUUACCGAGAGGGCAUUCAGACCAUAACCCAAUAUUAAUUUCAACAUCUGUCCCGGAUUGGGGUCCGAAGCAGCUAGAUUUAUCGAUGCUUGGUGGUUAUGGCCACGGUUUGAGGAUGUUGUUAUGAAUUUUUGGAAGGAGCUAUCUCCGUCUAAUUCUACUUCUUUACCAGUGAAGAUUAGAGCUUCGAAGCAGAAACUGUUUCAAUGGAAUGUGGUGGUUUUCGGUAAUGUUGAUGUGAAAGUAGCUAAGUUAAACUCGGAAGUGGAUAAAUGGGAAAGCAUUGCUGAGUCAAGAAACCUUUUAAUGUCUGAGGAAUCAUUAGUGGAUCAAUUGAAAGCUGAAAACAUAUUUGGGAAGUGAGUCAGGAGAGUUUAUGGAGGCAAAAGGCUCGCACAAACAGGUGUAAACUUGGUGAUAGAAACACCAAGUUCUUCCACCUCCAGUGUUCCAACAGGUGGAGGAAGAAUAGGAUCUGCUCUAUUUCGGACGGGAAUCGUUUUUGAAAGAAAGGAUGAAAUUAGGAGUAUCAUUGUCAACCAUUUUCAGAAUAGAUUUUGCCAGAUUUUCAAUCUAUCGGGGAGGGAUUCAAAUUUGGGUUUCAAAAGAUUAUCUGUUGAAGAUGCGUAGAAACUGGAAGCACCUUUCUUUUUGGAUGAAAUUAAGGAAGCUAUAUGGCAACGUGGUUCUGUGAAAGCUCCUGGUCCUGAUGGAGCAAAUUUUCUGUUUUAUAAGAAAGCGAGGCAGCUGAUAAAGGAUGAUUUAAUGUUGAUGUUGAAUGAAUUUUAUAAUUCUGCUUCUCUUCCAAAUGUGGUGCAUUCAUCUGUUAUAGCUCUCAUUCCUAAAGUGGCUGGAUCUUCUAAAGUUCAAGAUUUUAGACCUAUUACUCUAAUCCAAGGGCUGUAUAAACUAGUUUCAAAGGUUUUGGCAAACCGAGCUAAAGAGGCAUUGCCUUUCUUAAUUAGCCCAUCUGAGAGUGCAUUUGUGGGUGGAAGACAAAUCUUGGAUUGUUAUUUAAUUGCAAGUGAAGUGGUGGCCUUUUUUAAGGGAUCUAGAAGGAUGUGUUUCUUACUGAAAAUCGAUUUUGACAAGGCUUAAGUUUCAUUGAAGUGGGAACAUAUUGUUGAAGUUAUGAAAUGUAUGGGCUUUGGGCAAAAGUGGAGAGGUUGGAUUAUGUCUUGUGUGUCCAAUGCUAGGGCCUCCAUAUUCAUUAACAGUAAUCCUUCCGAAGAGUUUCAUAUGAGGAAUGUGGUGAGACAAGGAGACCCUCUAUCUCUAUUCCUCUUUGUUUUGGCAGUUGAACUAGUGUCCCUUCUAGUUUCCAAGGCAUGUGAAGUUGGGGAUCUUGAAGGAGUUAAAGUGGGCGCAGGUUCUGUAUCAAUUACACAUCAGCAAUUUGCAGAUGACACGAUUUUAUUCUGUCCUUGCAAGAUUGAAUUCAUUCAAGUUAUCUCCAGAAUUCUUCAAAUCUUUUACAUUUUUUCUGGAUUGAAGGUGAAUUUCCACAAAACAUUUCUGGUUGGGAUUAAUGUGGAAGAUGUUUUGGUUCAAGAAGCAGCUGAUGUUGGCAAUUUACCCAUGAAGUAUCUAGUCUUUCUCUUGGGUUCUAGGGGAGGGUUAGGAUUCUCCAAUAUCCUGAUUCAGAACCAAGCUCUCCUGUUUAAGUGGGUUUGGAGGCUUCAACAAUCUCCAGGUGUGAUGUGGCUAUCCCUUCUUAAAGAUAAGUAUCUGUUUCAUUCGGAUGGAGGUCUUCAAUUGGCAUCUGGAGGGAAUUUGUCUAUGGUGUGGAGAGACAUCCAAAGAUUUGCGGCUCUAAAGGUGAACAAUUUUGCUAUUUGUGAAACCUUUUGUUUUGUGGUUGGUAAUGGGGAAAAGGUUUUGUUUUGGCAUGAUUCUUGGGCAUCUAAUCGACCUCUAAAAGAUGAGUUUCCGAGACUGUUUGUGUUGUCAUCUCAACAAGAUGCCUAUGUAGUGGGUAUGGGUUCUUCGGUUGGAGUAAAUUGGUUAUGGAAAUUAGAGUGGAGAAGGCAGCUCCUUCAAUGGGAAAUGAGUCUAUUGGAUAGAUUAUUUUCUGUAUUGUAUGCUGUUAAACUUUGUAGUAAUAGAGAAGAUAGGCUGGUAUGGAAACCAGCGUCAAAUGGUUUGUUCUCUGUGUCAUCCCUUUACAAAUCCAUGGUAUCUGCAUCCACAAUGGAGGAGUUGGUGUCACCUUCAAUCUGGUUGGGUUAUGGCCCACCAAAAGCAGAGUUGCUGCCAUGGUUUUUUCGCAGAAAUAAAUUAUGUUGUCGUGAUUGGUUGUGUCAUUUUGGUGUUAGUCCUCAAUCGGAGAACCUAUGUCCUUUUUGUUUUCAGUUUGAGGAAACCAUUCUGCAUUUGUUUCUUUUUUGCACUUUUUGGUGGCAAGUGUGGUGUUGGUUUAUUAAAUGGUGGGAUUGCAGCUUUUCUAUUCCAGGUUCAGUUUCGGAUUUGUAUGAGCAGUGGAAGAAUAUGAGCAUAGGUCAUUUUCAGAAAGUCUUUUGGAUUACUUUGUUUUAUACAAUUGUGCGGUCCUUAUGGGUAGAGAUAUGAAAGAGUUUUUAAUCAGAAGGGAUGUUCAGUGCCUUCUUUGUGCUCCUUAAUUUUGCAUCGAGUGUCAGUUUGGAUGAAAGCUUCUAACACCGAGUUUCCUUUUUCUGGUAGGGAUCUGUUAGUCUCUGUUGAUUGUGUGAGGUGUUGGACAAAUUUAAAGAAGGUCCGACCCUCCAUUUCUUGGUCUCCACCUCCAUCUGCCUCAUUGAAAUGGAAUGUUAAUGGUUCGUCUAAAGAUAAGCCAGGUGCUAGUGGGAUUGGUUGUGUAUUGAGAGAUCAUGGAGAGUCAUUUUUGUGUGUUUUCUCCUGCAGAAUAGGAGUUGCCGACUCAAAUCUUGCAGAACUCUUGGCUAUUGGUAAAGCUAUGGAGUUGAGCAUUAAUUCUAUUGACCUUUUCAGUGAGAUUGUGGAGGUGAUUGCAGAGUCGGAUUCCAAAUCUGCAAUUUCAUGGGUUAGUAAUCCAGAUGCGGCACCUUGGAGAUUUUUUCAAUUACUAAUGGCAUCUUGUCAUGUUUACAGCAAUUUCAGCAAGUGUCAUUUGUCCAUACACCCCAUGAAGCUAAUACUCUUUGCAAGGCAGGGAGUUGCUCGCUGCUCUGAUCUUGUUGCCUUUUUUUUAGUAGUUUUGUGGUUUUUGUUUAUUUGCGGGGGCAGUCUGCUAUUUUCUAUUGGUUUUUGGUGUGGAUUUGGUUUUUUUAGCAUGGUAAUUAAGCCAUCUAUGAUGCUGUUGGGUAAGUUAUGAUGCAUUUGGGUUAUGGCUUAUGAAGUUAUUGAGUUAUUUUGUUGUGCUAUUAGGAUCUGUUUUGGUGAGUUGAGAUUUUCUGCUGCUGUCUGCAUGUUGUCCACUGCCUUAGUUUCUGGUCUGCAGAAUGCUGUUUUUUGGGGCUGUUUGUUUUCGCUUCUUGGUCCUCUUCGUUAUGGUUGGCGAUUAUAAGUAUGAAUUUGUUGUGUUUGCUUGUUUAUGUUUGUGUUUGCUUGUUUAUGUGGGCUAUUGGAUGUUUGAAUAUUUGGUCUUUAGUUAUGUUUAUCAUGGUCUCGGUUCUGUUUUGCUUUAUAUCAAUUUGUAUUGUUGUUUUGGUUAUUUCACGAUCGUUUUGGUCUGUUCAGUUUUAUUUUGUAUUUUGUUUUGUAUCGUUUUUCUUCAGGUUUUUUCACUUAGCCUGCAUCAUCCUAGGAAAUGGGUGUAUUGGGUGGUCUGCUCACUGGGCUCUAGUUGGAUGGUGUGAGCAAGUUUUUCCAGUAUAUUAUUAAUAAAAUCUUCUGCUUAUAAAAGAAAAUAUAUUUUAAGUAAAUAGUGAGAAAAAAGAAGUAAUAUUGUAAUUUACUGUCAAUCUGUUAACUCUCAGCACUGCAGAUGAUGCCUGUAAUACUAAAAAGAAAUGACUACAAAGUUGCAUAGUCUCCAAAAAGAUGGAAUGAAUAGAAGUGAUGCAAUGAAUGAAUGAACUUUUAUUUAAUAAUGUUAAGUCGUUUUAAUAAGCACUAAAUUAUUUAAUAAUAUUUAGUGAUAUUGAAAUUGCAGACUUGUAUUUGUUUCUGUUUCUCUGGUUUGAUCAACGGCGAUCAUUUUCAGUUCAAACAUGUAAAGAUCAUAGCAUAGCUUCUACU
RNAcentral lists this unclassified non-coding RNA (5534 nucleotides) under Hevea brasiliensis (rubber tree). Lineage: Eukaryota; Viridiplantae; Streptophyta; Magnoliopsida; Malpighiales; Euphorbiaceae. The record is from RNAcentral.